Molecule: long non-coding RNA, 2265 nt
Filed under: Gadus morhua (Atlantic cod)
Lineage: Eukaryota; Metazoa; Chordata; Actinopteri; Gadiformes; Gadidae
Description: lncRNA (ENSGMOG00000025788.1)
Source: RNAcentral
AUGCAUAGCAGAACGUAUUCCAGAACAAUACCAAAGACCGCCAGUAGAUGGCAUCACAGGACCAUCAAUAAACAUAAAAGACUGAAUUACACAGGAGAAAACAUACAUGUAACAGAACACAUAUAUUUAGAAAUAUAUACAUAUAUAUAUAUUUCUAUGCGUGUGUGUGCGGGCGGGGUCCUCAGACCCCCCCUUUUAUUUACUCUGAUGUACUUUUCAUCCUUUCCAAUAGAAGUGUGUUUCUAUUGGCCCGUUGGCUGUGUCACCGUCAGCAGUUACCAGGGACCGUCCUGCCGUCGCCUCUACCCACCACGGGACCACCACCCUCUCAGGCUACCCACCACGGGACCACCACCCUCUCCUCUACCCACCACGGGACCACCACCCUCUCAGGCUACCCACCACGGGACCACCACCCUCUCAGGCUACCCACCACGGGACCACCACCCUCUCCUCUACCCACCACGGGACCACCACCCUCUCCUCUACCCACCACGGGACCACCACCCUCUCAGGCUACCCACCACGGGACCACCACCCUCUCCUCUACCCACCACGGGACCACCACCCUCUCAGGCUACCCACCACGGGACCACCACCCUCUCAGGCUACCCACCACGGGACCACCACCCUCUCCUCUACCCACCACGGGACCACCACCCUCUCCUCUACCCACCACGGGACCACCACCCUCUCAGGCUACCCACCACGGGACCACCACCCUCUCCUCUACCCACCACGGGACCACCACCCUCUCAGGCUACCCACCACGGGACCACCAUCCUCUCCUCUACCCACCACGGGACCACCACCCUCUCAGGCUACCCACCACGGGACCCCCACCCUCUCAGGCUACCCACCACGGGACCACCACCCUCUCAGGCUACCCACCACGGGACCACCACCCUCUCCUCUACCCACCACGGGACCACCACCCUCUCCUCUACCCACCACUGGACCACCACCCUCUCAGGCUACCCACCACGGGACCACCACCCUCUCAGGCUACCCACCACGGGACCACCACCCUCUCAGGCUACCCACCACGGGACCCCCACCCUCUCCUCUACCCACCACGGGACCACCACCCUCUCCUCUACCCACCACGGGACCCCCACCCUCUCAGGCUACCCACCACGGGACAACCACCCUCUCCUCUACCCACCACGGGACAACCACCCUCUCCUCUACCCACCACGGGACCACCACCCUCUCCUCUACCCACCACGGGACCCCCACCCUCUCCUCUACCUACCACGGGACCCCCACCCUCUCCUCUACCCACCACGGGACCACCACCCUCUCCGUCAGCAGGUCAGAGCCCCCUCACAGCUCCACCCUUUUGAAAUAGAUCUAUCUUUAUUGAAGUGUCUUCACCCUGGAGGCCUACCUACACCAAUCACACCAACACCACACAGCCACACUACCACGCACACAACAGACGCACGCUACCUCCCACACCUACAUCCCGUUAUAGACCCCCCAGCCUUCUGUAUAGACCCCCACACACCCACCAUCACCACAAUAGACCCACACACACAUAUCAAACCACAGAACACACCAGACCCACACCAACACACCCACACACACAACCACUCAGACCACAAAGACCACCUCCACCAUCCACCCGUCCUCUCCUCCCACCACCACCAACACACACCCGGUACAUUGCACCAGAUGGCCCAACCCGUGGAAAAGACAAAGUAUAUUUUAAAAUACUCCAGGCCCUGCACCACAGGGACACAGCGGACAGAGCGGUGUCCUCCCGGGAACUCCCCAGGGGGAUGUCACGACAGGUCCACAAAUGAUCCCACUUCAUCAAACCCAUCACCCCCAGACACCACAUCACAAAGAAAUAAUGACAACACCAACACCUGGAUGCACAAUGACAUGUUGAUCCUUAAAGAACACUACACACACACAAUAGACCAACUCACACAAACCCCCCAGCCCACCAACACACUCUCACUUAAGACCGCUACCAACCGGGCGCACAAGAGGUUGGGCCACAGACUAUUACCCACCACCUUCCAUCAACUAGAACACACACUACUCCAUACACCGUCCGCCCCACACUCACCACUCAUCACCAACCCACACCCCCUCAACCUACUCCCCCCCUCCCCCAUACCGACCAGUCCCCAUACCACCCCACCUCGAGCCUGGACCUCCCCCUCACCGACACCUCCACAGCCCACACUCAGCCACACAGACCCCCCCCCCUCCCCCCUCUGCCUCCCCAACCAGCACCCACACACACCCUAG